UACAGGGGGUGCAAACGUUGCUCGGAAUUAUUGGGCGUAAAGCGCACGUAGGCGGUUCGUUAUGUCGGAUGUGAAAGCCCUUGGCUCAACCGAGGAAGUGCAUCCGAAACUGGCGAGCUAGAGUAUGUAAGAGGGUCGCGGAAUUCCCGGUGUAGAGGUGAAAUUCGUAGAUAUCGGGAGGAACACCGGUGGCGAAGGCGGCGACCUGGGACAAUACUGACGCUGAGGUGCGAAAGCGUGGGGAGCAAACAGG
This 253-nucleotide ribosomal RNA is filed under the name uncultured bacterium. Its description in RNAcentral is "partial 16S ribosomal RNA". It matches the Rfam family "Bacterial small subunit ribosomal RNA", at positions 524 to 776 of the family's 1533-position model. The record is from RNAcentral.